Salvia miltiorrhiza (redroot sage) is the source of this 915-nucleotide long non-coding RNA. RefSeq lists it as uncharacterized. The record is from RefSeq and is a predicted model, not a curated record. Lineage: Eukaryota; Viridiplantae; Streptophyta; Magnoliopsida; Lamiales; Lamiaceae. The transcript is spliced from 2 exons.
ACGACUAAUUGAAUUAUGUUCGGAUUGAAGUUAGGAUACCAAAAAUCAGCUAAAUUCGCGUACGAAUACCCACAUUUCCGGUUCGAGUUAUCCAUAUAAACUCGACCCAUUCAUCACCCCUAAAAAUCUUACAGAAGAUGGAGAAGAGUAUUUUUUUUUUUUAAUAAAUAUAAGAAGAUCAAUAAUAAGUUUUUCACUUCUCUUCGUCAUGAUUUGAACCCCUAAACCUAAUAAUUAAAGGAGAAGCGUUUUAUAAAUUGAGUUGGGCUUGGUUCGUUGUCAAGAUGGAGAAGAGUUUGGCUGAAACAAUUUCGCCAGAUCAAAUCAACGUCGCAGCAAAACAAUCAAAAUUAGAGGAUGUAAAUUUCGUGGGAGAAACAAAAACAUACAAACACAGAAACAAACAAGCAGCGAGAAAUAGGAAAUGGGUGAUGGCAGCGGCGCUAUUGCGGUGAAGGUGGUGAUAAUCAACACACAAUUCGUGGAGACUGAUGCCAGAAGCUUCAAAUCCGUCGUUCAGAGCCUCACGGGAAAGGACUCCACUAUUCCCGCCGCCCAGCCUCCUCCGAGGUUUCAGCCCGCCGCCGGAGCUUCUUACAAACCUCCGAUUUUGUCGCCCGGAAUGUCGUUUAAGGAUUUCGAGAGAAUGGUAAACGAGUUGCCUCCACUUGAUGAACUCACCAGAAUUUAUUGUGGAUAGCUGUCUCUAUAUUUUUUAAGAUUUUUUUGGGGGUAUUUUUUUUGGCUACUGGAGAUGGUGGAUUAUUUUGUCCUAGAUUCAUGAAUAUCUAUAUUGAUGGGAUAAGAAUAGACCAAAUAGUGGCCUUAAAGAAAAGGAACAGAACAAAUUGUAGUGCUUCGCUGCGGUAGAACAUCAUGUGUAUAUUUAAUUAAUUUAGUGAUUCUUUCAGAGCA